AAAGUUCUAGUUAAACAGUUAUAACAUUUCUUUGUCAGGGAACAAUUGCAAGUUAAAAUCUUGCGUACUUUA
RNAcentral lists this transfer RNA (72 nucleotides) under Scolopsis ciliata. RNAcentral describes it as "tRNA-Asp". It matches the Rfam family "tRNA". From Rfam's summary of the family: Transfer RNA (tRNA) molecules are approximately 80 nucleotides in length. The record is from RNAcentral. RNAcentral also lists the same sequence under 1 other name. Lineage: Eukaryota; Metazoa; Chordata; Actinopteri; Spariformes; Nemipteridae.